Molecule: ribosomal RNA, 465 nt
Filed under: uncultured bacterium
Lineage: Bacteria
Description: partial 16S ribosomal RNA
Rfam family: Bacterial small subunit ribosomal RNA
Source: RNAcentral
GACGAACGCUGGCGGCGUGCUUAACACAUGCAAGUCGAACGGAAAGGCCCUGCUUGCAGGGUACUCGAGUGGCGAACGGGUGAGUAACACGUGGGUGAUCUGCCCUUCACUUCGGGAUAAGCUUGGGAAACUGGGUCUAAUACCGGAUAGGACCGCACUUUAGUGUGUGUGGUGGAAAGUUUUUUCGGUGUAGGAUGAGCUCGCGGCCUAUCAGCUUGUUGGUGGGGUAAUGGCCUACCAAGGCGGCGACGGGUAGCCGGCCUGAGAGGGUGUACGGCCACAUUGGGACUGAGAUACGGCCCAGACUCCUACGGGUGGCAGCAGUGGGGAAUAUUGCACAAUGGGCGCAAGCCUGAUGCAGCGACGCCGCGUGGGGGAUGAAGGCCUUCGGGUUGUAAACUCCUUUCGCCAGGGACGAAGCUUUUUGUGACGGUACCUAGAUAAGAAGCACCGGCUAACUACGUG